UGAAUAGGCAUUGACAAUAAAGAAAAAUAGCUACUCACUUGCUAGAUUGUUUUUGCCAUUGUUUUGUCCUUGAGUUGCUGUAAAAAUAAUAAAUUAUGCAUAGAUAUAAAUGCAUUGCACAAAGAAAAUAAGUAAAUUUUUUGGUGAAUAGCAAAUUUAUGAUCUAAUAUACUGUAGUGUUUUUUUUUACGUUUUUUUUUUUUUUUUUACAUAAAUUGCUUUAGGUGGUUAAUACAAAUAAUUUAUUCUGGCAGACGAUGACAGUUUUAAGAGAGUGCUAGAGCACAUACAUACUUCCUGUGUUAGAAUGACUCAGUAUGAUUAAAGUGAGAGGUUAAAACAGAAUUUGCACAUUGCUCAUUUGUGCAAAAUCAAAUGUGAUAUUUUUAUGAUGAACAGCAUAAUCAGUGAUCAUUAUGCUUGCACAGUAUUGUCUCGCUUACUGGUUUUUUUGCUUGUUGUGCUUUUGAUCAUAUUUUUUGUGCUUGAUUGCGCAACAGUUUUCAGAGGUUUUUCUGUGGUGUAAUACUUGGUCUGCGGAUGUUCUGAGGGUGGAGGAGUAGGUGAUUCUGUUGGCCAAAAAGGGAAAAAAAAUAAAUAAAUCAAAAAUCAUCUAACAUUCUUUGGUUAGAGUUUCCCAUUUAUGUAUCAGUACUGAAGUAAGCAGCAUAGCAUAUAAACUGGCUUACAGUUUUUCUACCAAUUGUACCAUUUUGCUGCAAAAAGUGUCUGGACACUUGAUUGACAGCUGAUAAAACAACAGGAAAAAGCUACCUGAUUGUCCAUCUGACGUAGUAUUCCCAUCCGUUGUGUUUGACAGGUCGACCGUGGAGUUUGGAGUGGUAAAGUUGUCUAGAAAGCCCUCUGGUGUUUUAUUGAUUAGGGUGGUGUUGUCAACAGACAUUGAAACUGGAGCAGUGAUGAUUUCUGUGCUGCUUAUCGUUGUUGUUGCCUCAUUUUCAACAGCAAAGACAAAUAAGGCACCUGCAUUGUACCCAUUAAAGGUUUAGUCAGGUCAUGAGGAACAUAGUUAUUACAAUCUACAAAUCUGUAAAUUACAAGUACAUCUACAAUAAUGGCUGAAUCUACCCUUAAAUCAAGUGCUCAGUCUGAAACCGCAAUAACUUCCACUUCUGUGACCAGUACAGGAUGCAGCAGACAGUUACCCAAAAAAGGCACAUAAGGAACUUGUGCACUUUUGUAAAGCCCCGUUUAUUGCAUUUGCAUUAUUCAACUAAUUAAAGGAAACCGG
Molecule: long non-coding RNA, 1252 nt
Organism: Cyprinus carpio carpio
Lineage: Eukaryota; Metazoa; Chordata; Actinopteri; Cypriniformes; Cyprinidae
Source: Ensembl